CUCAAGCUGUGUAAAUCUGCAGGAGCAGGAGGACAGGAAGCUGUUUGCUGGCCCGAAUCCCAAGUGGCACUGAGGUAAGACCACCCCCACACUAAUUUACACAGAACAUAAUCCCACCCACACACUCUUUCCCAACCAAUCCCAUAAUCCCAUCUAUCCCCACACUCCUACAUGUGCCCUUGUCCGCUUAGCUGCGCUAUCUCC
Molecule: non-coding RNA, 204 nt
Organism: Pelobates cultripes (western spadefoot toad)
Lineage: Eukaryota; Metazoa; Chordata; Amphibia; Anura; Pelobatidae
Source: the annotation of a GenBank genome assembly